RNAcentral lists this microRNA (23 nucleotides) under Monodelphis domestica (gray short-tailed opossum). RNAcentral describes it as "mdo-miR-7295-3p". The record is from miRBase by way of RNAcentral. Lineage: Eukaryota; Metazoa; Chordata; Mammalia; Didelphimorphia; Didelphidae.
CCCUGCGCGGUUACGGGCGAAGC